This 2065-nucleotide long non-coding RNA is filed under the name Equus asinus (donkey). RNAcentral's name for it is "lncRNA (ENSEASG00005000948.2)". Lineage: Eukaryota; Metazoa; Chordata; Mammalia; Perissodactyla; Equidae. The record is from RNAcentral.
GUAAGUCUGUCAUAUCUCUGGAGAAUAUUGUGCAGUAUGUUGUCAGUGGAGUGAAGUCAGUGGAAGGUAGGGAGGGGUAAGGGUGAGGAAAGGAGAUUAGAUUGGAAGGUCUGCCUAGGUCUAGCAGUGAAGGGCCUUCAAAGGCUGUGCGAAGUUAGGACCUUAUCCUGAAGGUAGAGGGGAGACAUUGAGCUGAUGUGGGUUGGAGAAAGAUCACUGGCAGCAAUGUGGUGGAUGAAUUGGGAGGGUCAAGGGUGGAGAGAGACACAGGGUGGAAGAGAGUUAGUCCAGCACAGGAAAGAGCAUCUGAGGACCUCAACCAUGGAAUUAGAGAAGAGGGCUGGACUAGACAAUCUCCAAAACUAAAGCUCUGUGCCCUGAACCCACCUGGGCCCAUGAUCCUUUCUGCACCUGCCCCCGUCCCUCCCAACUCCUAGUUGAUUAUAUCAGUUGCUUGCUCAUGCUCCAUCCUGGGGGAUCUGUGACCUGUUUGGGUUUUGACUCAAUCCAAUUUCCCUGUUUGUCGGUUCUGUCCACCCAACACUUCAGAUAAGAUCUCAGCUCCUUGGAGAUUAACUGGGAGGAAGCUGUACUCUGUCUCGGGGUCCUCCCACUCCCCCCUCGGCCUCACUCUGCUCUUUCCUCCAGCCUUGGAACUUGGGUCUCCAGAUUGGCAAUGGCAACUAUGCUGUCCUUCGCAUUACUCUUUCCAAGAGGAAGGAUGAGACACCACACCUCAUUGGAAGAUGUUGACAAUCAGGAACUAGAAAAAUGGAUUAAAGGGACCUUGGGACCUUAGUCUAAGAGAGAGCAGAAGCUGGUCCCACCACUGAUGUAUCUUCCGAAGAUGCAUGUCUGGGGCUUGAGUGGGGGAGCAGCGCGGUGGCUGGAGACGAGGGACGCAUCACUCCUCAUCACGGAAUGAGAGGCAUUACGGGCCAAAGAAGAGAGCUCUGAGGUUGUACAAGCCUGGAUUUGUUUGCCAGUUCUGACACUAAUUAGCUGUGUGACUCUGGGUGGUUUAUUAACUCAUCUGAGCCUCAGUUUCCACAUCUGUAAACAUGAGGUGACGGUAUCUCUUGUACUUGGUUGUUGAGAUUAUUCAGUGAGAUACCAUGUGUGAAAGCACCUAGCAUGGUAUGUGGCUUUGACUAGGAGCUCAAUGAAUACCACCUCCCUUACUUCACUUCCUGGAACUCUGGUCUUUAUUCCAUCUAAGGCCUUCUUGGCAGCCACCCAGCAGGCAUGCUGGUGGGCAUCUUAUUGGAUGGAAAGUCUUGGUGCCUUUUAGAGCUUCCAGAAAGAUCCAUGGACAGAAUAAGUGGCCACUUUAUGCUAUUCCAGAGCAUGACCUGAGGAGUGGAUACUGGACUCCAUCUGUCACUUGUUUACUCACUACCUCAGUGUGGCCUGAAAUUCUUCCCAUUAGUCAUUUCCAUUUUAAUUUUCUUCUGGAAUCAAUAGAUUCACCUGGAAAACAGUCUGUCAUCUAUAGGCUGGAGUGUAGAAAGCCAUUGUCAAGGGUGGAGAGGAAGGCCAGGUGUGUUGGCUGUCUCUCAUCCAGCAGCACAUUGGACCCUUUAAGAAUGAAAUUAGUUGACUGACACCUUGGAGCAGAGACUCUGUCACUUACCUCUUUUUUGCUGGAGCCCUGCCUACAACAGGAGAUUAUCAACACUUUUUGUUGAUCCAGUGAAUGUCUUUUAAAAAUUAUGUGAUUCUGAUACAUGCUACAACAUGGAUAAAACUUGAGGACAUUAUGCUAAGUGAAAUAAGCCGGUCACAAAAAGACACAUACUGCAUGAUUCCACUUAUAUGAGGCACCUAGAGUAGACAACUCACAGAGACAGAAAGCAGAAGGGUGGCUGCCAGGGGCUGGGGAGGCGGAAUGAAGAGCUGUUGAAUGGGGACAGAGUUUCAAUUUUGCAAGAUGAAAAAGUUCUGGAGAGGAUAGUGGUGAUGGCUGCGCAACAUUGUGAAGGUACUUGAUGCCACUGAAUUGUGUGCUUAAAAAUGGUAAAUUUUGUUAUGUAUAUUUUACCACAAUAAAAAAAUUGUGUGUGUG